Nematostella vectensis (starlet sea anemone) is the source of this 722-nucleotide long non-coding RNA. RefSeq lists it as uncharacterized. The record is from RefSeq and is a predicted model, not a curated record. NCBI's taxonomy places the organism in Eukaryota, Metazoa, Cnidaria, Anthozoa, Actiniaria, Edwardsiidae. The transcript has 2 exons.
CAUACGGAGUCUUUUUUGAGAAAACAACGCUAUAGGCAACCCGAUUUUGAGAGGAAAAGAAUCGGCCGAUUGCUGAAGAACUUGGAUAGAAGAACAAACAUUAAUCAGCCUUGAAGAUGGUAUGAAUAUCGUGUAUACUUGUGCCUCUUGCAUUGUUCAUAUGGCACAAGUUAAUACAGCCCUUCAUUGAUCGAUGGUAUGGCGUGAAGAAGAUCCAAGGUCUCCCGGAGAAAGACAAAGUAAAGGAUGGUGGUGGAGAAAUAAAAGAAAUAAAGGAAGAAGUGUCUUCUAAGGUGGAAGAUGGGUUACUUGCUGAUGGGCAUGCAAAGAGUGACUGAUCUCAAGUGCUUGGGCAUAUAAUAGGUCCUCUUCAGUGGAUGACUUAAUGAAGGCUUGUGAUAAAAUCCUAAGCUUUUAUGGAAAAUCACAAGUAUGAUGAACUGUCAACCAGAAGGGCCAUUUAUUUGGAUAUUUUGCACUAGUGUCUAUUAUUAUUUAUUAUUUGCAAUCAUAAUCACUUUAUACAGAUAUUCCUUUGAUGCAAACAAAUGUUUAAAAAAAAUGGCUAGAAAUAUUUGGAGGAAUGAUAAAGAUUAAUUUCCAGACUCAUUUUGUAAUUGGAAGACUGAAUGUUAGUGUAUUACAGUGGAACCUGGAUUUUAACCGCCUAAAGGGGAAGCUCUGGAAAAUAAAUAGCCCUCUAAGAGGGGGCUCUGAAUUUU